Molecule: ribosomal RNA, 330 nt
Filed under: Triticum aestivum (bread wheat)
Lineage: Eukaryota; Viridiplantae; Streptophyta; Magnoliopsida; Poales; Poaceae
Description: partial small subunit ribosomal RNA
Source: RNAcentral
AUGCAGAUUCUUUUUCGAGAAAACGCAAAUGGCUUUUGCGUUUCAUUGCAUUGGAAAGGAAGGGGAAUAUACAUCCUCCUAGGAGGUAGUUUUACACAGCCAAGGGGGCCUCAGUGGACAUCCCAGGAUGGUGGCAAAACGACCCUGAGCCCUUGGGCUCCGGCCUUUGCCCAACAUUUGGUCUCGUCUUUGAUCCUGUCUACAAGCUCAUUCAGCGAAGGCCUCACAUGGUCGAAAACACACGCGUUCCUAUGCUGGCGGUGUGGAUUCCUUAGCGCGCAGCCACCAAUCCAUGAGCGAGCCGUCGUGGUCGGGCGUCGGUGCCGGUAG